This is a long non-coding RNA of Schistocerca serialis cubense, 457 nucleotides long. RefSeq lists it as uncharacterized. Lineage: Eukaryota; Metazoa; Arthropoda; Insecta; Orthoptera; Acrididae. The transcript is spliced from 2 exons. The record is from RefSeq and is a predicted model, not a curated record.
GGAGGCAGAGGAGCUUGAGUGAUGAAAGAGUGCGGAAGCGUUAGUCGGGCGCUACCGCCGACGCGGUGUGCAGCUAUGCUCGCGCCAAUGUAGACGCGCCCGAUUUGUUAUCCCGCGAGUUAUCCCGAAGACGGUAGGAUUGGACGGGCGGAGGAAGCCACAAUUCCAGCUAUUGGCUGUCCCAUAAUUAUCCGUGGCUCUGGAAACGACUCGGGGUUCUCAAGCAGCAGCAACAACAGCAGCUCAGCAUUGUCGCCGGCUACAUUCUUCGUCGUCCGCACAGCUACAACAUCGUAAGACUGAUAAGAUCUGCAGACUGCAGCGCUUCCGCCAUGGACACAUCUCAUUCUGGACAGAACAACCUUAACUCCUCGAUUGGAGGCUUAUUGAUGACCUAAUUUCUUAACAAAAUCAGAAAAAUUUUGUACAUGAAUCAAUAAAUAUUGUGCAAAAAAGA